RNAcentral lists this ribosomal RNA (387 nucleotides) under uncultured Geobacillus sp. RNAcentral describes it as "bacterial SSU rRNA". It matches the Rfam family "Bacterial small subunit ribosomal RNA", at positions 996 to 1382 of the family's 1533-position model. Lineage: Bacteria; Bacillati; Bacillota; Bacilli; Caryophanales; Anoxybacillaceae. The record is from RNAcentral.
AACCCGAGAGAGUCGGGCCGUUCCCCUUCGGGGGACAGGGUGACAGGUGGUGCAUGGUUGUCGUCAGCUCGUGUCGUGAGAUGUUGGGUUAAGUCCCGCAACGAGCGCAACCCUCGCCUCUAGUUGCCAGCAUUCGGUUGGGCACUCUAGAGGGACUGCCGGCGACAAGUCGGAGAAGUGGGGAUGACGUCAAAUCAUCAUGCCCCUUAUGUCCUGGGCUACACACGUACUACAAUGGCCGUUACAACGGGAAGCGAAGGAGCAAUCCGGAGCAAAUCCCUUAAAGGCGGUCCCAGUUCAGAUUGUGGGCUGAAACUCGCCCACAUGAAGGCGGAAUUGCUAGUAAUUGCAGAUCAGCAUGCUGCAGUGAAUACGUUCCCGGGCCUU